AGUGAACGCUGGCGGCGUGCCUAAUACAUGCAAGUCGAACGGAGUGGCGCACGGGUGAGUAAUGUAUAGCUAAUCUGCCCUACACUAGAGGACAACAGUUGGAAACGACUGCUAAUACUCUAUAGUGUAGGAUGAGGCUAUAUGGUAUCAGCUAGUUGGUGAGGUAAUGGCUCACCAAGGCUAUGACGCAUAACUGGUCUGAGAGGAUGAUCAGUCACACUCGAACGGAGACACGGUCCAGACUCCUGCGGGAAGCAGCCGUAGGGAGUAGUGCUCAAUGGGGGAAACCCUGGAGCGGCACCGCGGCGUGGAGGAUGACACUUUUCGGAGCAUAAACUCCUUUUGUUAGGGAAACGGUACCUAACGAAUAAGCACCGGCUAACUCCGUGCCAGCCGCCGCGGUAAUAC
This 408-nucleotide ribosomal RNA is filed under the name uncultured bacterium. RNAcentral describes it as "partial 16S ribosomal RNA". It matches the Rfam family "Bacterial small subunit ribosomal RNA", at positions 29 to 526 of the family's 1533-position model. The record is from RNAcentral.